UGGGGAAUAUUGCGCAAUGGGGGAAACCCUGACGCAGCAACGCCGCGUGAGUGAGGAAGGUUUUCGGACCGUAAAUCUCUGUCGAGCGGGAAGAAAUGCAUGGUGGCUAAUAUCAAUCAUGCUUGACGGUACCGCUAAAGGAAGCACCGGAUAACUCCGUGCAAGAAGCCGCGGUAAUACGGGGGGUGCGAGCGUUGUUCGGAAUUGUUGGGCGUAAAGAGUGUGUAGGCGGCUGAAUAAGUCAGAUGUGAAAUCCCUGGGCUUAACCCAGGACCUGCAUUUGAAACUAUUCGGCUAGAGUAGUGGAGAUGAAAGUGGAAUUCCUGGUGUAGAGGUGAAAUUCGUAGAUAUCAGGAGGAACACCGGUGGCGAAGGCGACUGUCUGGACCUAUACUGACGCUGAGACGCGAGAGCGUGGGUAGCAAACA
Molecule: ribosomal RNA, 428 nt
Filed under: uncultured prokaryote
Description: bacterial SSU rRNA
Rfam family: Bacterial small subunit ribosomal RNA
Source: RNAcentral